GCCCGCUCGCCGGAAGACCAAGGGUUCCUGUCCAACGUUAAUCGGGGCAGGGUGAGUCGACCCCUAAGGCGAGGCCGAAAGGCGUAGUCGAUGGGAAACAGGUUAAUAUUCCUGUACUUGGUGUUACUGCGAAGGGGGGACGGAGAAGGCUAUGUUGGCCGGGCGACGGUUGUCCCGGUUUAAGCGUGUAGGCUGGUUUUCCAGGCAAAUCCGGAAAAUCAAGGCUGAGGCGUGAUGACGAGGCACUACGGUGCUGAAGCAACAAAUGCCCUGCUUCCAGGAAAAGCCUCUAAGCAUCAGGUAACAUCAAAUCGUACCCCAAACCGACACAGGUGGUCAGGUAGAGAAUACCAAGGCGCUUGAGAGAACUCGGGUGAAGGAACUAGGCAAAAUGGUGCCGUAACUUCGGGAGAAGGCACGCUGAUAUGUAGGUGAAGUCCCUUGCGGAUGGAGCUGAAAUCAGUCGAAGAUACCAGCUGGCUGCAACUGUUUAUUAAAAACACAGCACUGUGCAAACACGAAAGUGGACGUAUACGGUGUGACGCCUGCCCGGUGCCGGAAGGUUAAUUGAUGGGGUCAGCGCAAGCGAAGCUCUUGAUCGAAGCCCCGGUAAACGGCGGCCGUAACUAUAACGGUCCUAAGGUAGCGAAAUUCCUUGUCGGGUAAGUUCCGACCUGCACGAAUGGCGUAAUGAUGGCCAGGCUGUCUCCACCCGAGACUCAGUGAAAUUGAACUCGCUGUGAAGAUGCAGUGUACCCGCGGCAAGACGGAAAGACCCCGUGAACCUUUACUAUAGCUUGACACUGAACAUUGAGCCUUGAUGUGUAGGAUAGGUGGGAGGCUUUGAAGUGUGGACGCCAGUCUGCAUGGAGCCGGCCUUGAAAUACCACCCUUUAAUGUUUGAUGUUCUAACGUGGACCCGUGAUCCGGGUUGCGGACAGUGUCUGGUGGGUAGUUUGACUGGGGCGGUCUCCUCCUAAAGAGUAACGGAGGAGCACGAAGGUUGGCUAAUCCUGGUCGGACAUCAGGAGGUUAGUGCAAUGGCAUAAGCCAGCUUGACUGCGAGCGUGACGGCGCGAGCAGGUGCGAAAGCAGGUCAUAGUGAUCCGGUGGUUCUGAAUGGAAGGGCCAUCGCUCAACGGAUAAAAGGUACUCCGGGGAUAACAGGCUGAUACCGCCCAAGAGUUCAUAUCGACGGCGGUGUUUGGCACCUCGAUGUCGGCUCAUCACAUCCUGGGGCUGAAGUAGGUCCCAAGGGUAUGGCUGUUCGCCAUUUAAAGUGGUACGCGAGCUGGGUUUAGAACGUCGUGAGACAGUUCGGUCCCUAUCUGCCGUGGGCGCUGGAGAACUGAGGGGGGCUGCUCCUAGUACGAGAGGACCGGAGUGGACGCAUCACUGGUGUUCGGGUUGUCAUGCCAAUGGCACUGCCCGGUAGCUAAAUGCGGAAGAGAUAAGUGCUGAAAGCAUCUAAGCACGAAACUUGCCCCGAGAUGAGUUCUCCCUGACCCUUUAAGGGUCCUGAAGGAACGUUGAAGACGACGACGUUGAUAGGCCGGGUGUGUAAGCGCAGCGAUGCGUUGAGCUAACCGGUACUAAUGAACCGUGAGGCUUAACCUUACAACGCCGAAG
RNAcentral lists this ribosomal RNA (1629 nucleotides) under Shigella sonnei. Its description in RNAcentral is "partial 23S ribosomal RNA". It matches the Rfam family "Bacterial large subunit ribosomal RNA", at positions 1328 to 2925 of the family's 2925-position model. Lineage: Bacteria; Pseudomonadati; Pseudomonadota; Gammaproteobacteria; Enterobacterales; Enterobacteriaceae. The record is from RNAcentral.